RNAcentral lists this ribosomal RNA (488 nucleotides) under uncultured bacterium. RNAcentral's name for it is "partial 16S ribosomal RNA". It matches the Rfam family "Bacterial small subunit ribosomal RNA", at positions 28 to 507 of the family's 1533-position model. The record is from RNAcentral.
GAUGAACGCUGGCGGCGUGCUUAAUACAUGCAAGUCGAACGGAAAGGCCCUGCUCUUGCUGGUUGCACGAGUGGCGAACGGGUGAGUAACACGCGUGUAACCCGUCCCUGUAUUUGGGAUAUCUUUUGGAAACUGGGGCUCAUAUCGGGUAGGAUCUCUUGAUCCGUGUUGUGGGUUGGAAAGUUUCGGCGUUUCGGGAUGGUCUCGCGGGGUACGAGCUGGAUGGUCGGGUAGUUGAUUUCCAAGGCUAUGACGGGUAGCCGACCUGAGAGGCGGAUAGGCGACAUGGGAACGGAGCCACGGUCCAGAGGCCUAAGGGAGGCAGCAGUAGGGAACCGGCGGCAGUGGGGGAAAGCCUGACGGAGCAACGGCGAGCGAGUGAUGAAGGCCCCCGGAGCGGAAAACUCGGUUUUGAGGGAAGAACAAAUUUGUAAGUAACUAUGCACGGCUUGACGGUAAUUAAUCAGGAAGCAACGGCUAACUACGUG